GGGAGGUCAGCCUGGCCUUGGAAAUAUGCUGCUGCUAGUCACAUGUGAAGUGGUUGAUGUUUGUGAUAUUCUUAAAACCUCUUUAUGGUAAACAGUACAGGCAAUUAUUUUCCUCUAUUUUCAGACUAAAUCAAGUGGGUCGAAGAAGUCUUAAGAAGAGGCUCCAUUUCCAGCUAACAGGUGGCAUUUCAGAGGACAUCUUUAGCAGUAUGAACAUUUAUCUGACCUCUCUUACAAAGAUUUUUCCUUCACUCAAGAAAAUACUGAAUGAGUCAGCGUGUUCAUCUGUUUUGCUCUGGUAAAUC
RNAcentral lists this long non-coding RNA (305 nucleotides) under Zalophus californianus (California sea lion). RNAcentral's name for it is "lncRNA (ENSZCAG00015014195.1)". The record is from RNAcentral. Lineage: Eukaryota; Metazoa; Chordata; Mammalia; Carnivora; Otariidae.